Molecule: ribosomal RNA, 400 nt
Filed under: uncultured bacterium
Lineage: Bacteria
Description: bacterial SSU rRNA
Rfam family: Bacterial small subunit ribosomal RNA
Source: RNAcentral
GGGGAAUAUUGGACAAUGGGGGAAACCCUGAUCCAGCGACGCCGCGUGAGUGAAGAAGUAUUUCGGUAUGUAAAGCUCUAUCAGCAGGGAAGAAAAUGACGGUACCUGACUAAGAAGCCCCGGCUAACUACGUGCCAGCAGCCGCGGUAAUACGUAGGGGGCAAGCGUUAUCCGGAUUUACUGGGUGUAAAGGGAGCGUAGACGGUGCAGCAAGUCUGAAGUGAAAUCCCGGGGCUCAACCCUGGAACUGCUUUGGAAACUGUUGAACUAGAGUGCAGGAGAGGUAAGUGGAAUUCCUAGUGUAGCGGUGAAAUGCGUAGAUAUUAGGAGGAACACCAGUGGCGAAGGCGGCUUACUGGACUGUAACUGACGUUGAGGCUCGAAAGCGUGGGGAGCAAAC